Molecule: ribosomal RNA, 1264 nt
Filed under: Triticum aestivum (bread wheat)
Lineage: Eukaryota; Viridiplantae; Streptophyta; Magnoliopsida; Poales; Poaceae
Description: partial small subunit ribosomal RNA
Source: RNAcentral
CCAAAGGUCCACGUGCACCGUGUCCACGGAAGAAACCACCCAUCAUCGUCUUCUCCAUAGAUAAGCUUUUUCCACUCACUCUAUCUUCCUCGCCGUUUCUCCCCAACCCAACCCCCGUCCGGCGCGCCCGCCCGCCCUAGAAAAAAUGGAGACCUCCUUCCUCCCUACCGCGCGGCCCCUCCCCGCGUUCCAAACCCUAGCCGCGGCCCCGCGCUGCCCCCGCCCUCUGCGCCGCUCCACCAUCCGCGCCGCCAUCUCCCGCGGGCGCAAGGAGGACACGGUCGCCGUGGUCCGCGAGCAGCUGGAGGGGUGCUACCUCCUGGCCGGCAUCCGCUACGAGGGCCUGACGGUGAAGCAGUUCCAGGGCAUCCGCGACGCGCUGCCGGAGUCGUGCCACCUCCUGGUGGCGAAGAACACGCUGGUGGGGAAGGCCAUCGAGGGCACCCCCUGGGAGGCGCUCAAGCCGUGCAUGAAGGGCAUGAACGCCUGGCUCUUCGUCCACACGGAGGAGGUCCCCGUCGCGCUCAAGCCCUACCGCGCCUUCCAGAAGGAGGAGCGCGUCGAGGAGACCAACGACUUCAUCGGGGCGGUGUUCGAGGGCAAGUACUACGCGCCCGCCGAGUUCAAGUCGCUCGAGACCAUGCCCAGCCGCGCCGAGGUCUACUCCAAGCUGCUCGGCGCCCUCAAUGGGCCGGCCACCUCCCUCGUCACCACGCUGCAGGCGCCCGCCAGGGACGUCGUCGCCGUGCUCUCGGCCUACGUGCGCAAGCUCGAGGAGGAGUCCGGCGCCGGCGCCGGCACCGCCUAGUGGCAGUUGCGAUAUGGUUGUGCCUCCUAUCCUCACAUCUCACUCCUUGUUUGUACAAUUCCUUGUACCUUUACUGUCUCCCAUUUGAAUUGAAUCACAAGUUUUCCCCUUCACAAUGUGCGGCCUGUAAUUGGGCAGUUUCUCUUGCCUGCUGGUGUCCAAACUGGGAUGAAAUUGGAAAAGGAUGGUUCGAGAAUCGGGCAAUGUAUAUCAUGUUGAUGAAUAAUUUGGUUUGUGUAAGAGCAAGUUUAAUAGGGUAAGGACCCAUGACAAACAAUGGGAACUACUGAUGGCUAUUUUUAUGUCAGUUUAUAUCGUCAAAUUUCAUUUUUCAGGCGACGGUGAGGCUUCGUCGCAAGGCUUUGUCGCAUUCUUCACUUAACCGUGUGCUAUGGUUCUGAAGUUAGACAAAAUGUUUGUGUUUGUGCAUCAUAACCUGACCGUGGCUUCGCUGCC